AUUGAACGCUGGCGGCAGGCCUAACACAUGCAAGUCGAGCGAGCGGCGGACGGGUGAGUAAUGUCUGGGAAACUGCCUGAUGGAGGGGGAUAACUACUGGAAACGGUAGCUAAUACCGCAUACCAUCAGAUGUGUCCAGAUUGGAUUAGCUAGUAGAUGGGGUAACGGGUCACCUAGGCGACGAUCCCUAGCUGGUCUGAGAGGAUGACCAGCCACACGGGAAGUGAGACACGGUCCAGACUCCUACGGGAGGCAGAAGUUGGGAAUAUUGCACAAUGGGCGCAAGCCUGAUGGAGCCAUGCCGCGUGUGUAAAGAAGGCCUUCGGGUUGUAAAGCACUGUCAGCGGAGAGGCGUUACCCGCAGAAGAAGCACCGGCUAACUCCGUGCCAGCAGCCGCGGUAAUUC
Molecule: ribosomal RNA, 406 nt
Filed under: uncultured bacterium
Lineage: Bacteria
Description: partial 16S ribosomal RNA
Rfam family: Bacterial small subunit ribosomal RNA
Source: RNAcentral